GUUCUGCUGAAGUUCUUUAAGGAUGUUGGCUGCGUCCUCCUCCAGCUUAUCACCUCCCAUAGACUCAAACAUUUUCUCCAAUUGAACUCUCAGCUGCUGUAUGUUGUUCAUUAAAAUACAGGCCUAUGAUAAAGUGUGAGAUUCGUUACAAAGGCCAACAAAAUGCUUAUCUGAAGAGUUUACCGUCCAGCAAGACCAUCUAGUCGAUAGUAAUGUACUUACAAUUCGUUCGUCCCUCAUAUGCUCUGGAAACUCCAUUUUCACAAUAUCAGCAUAGGCAAUUAGCACUUUUACGAUUGUUUUAGCAAAACGCCUCAUGUAACGUUUCCAAAUUUCUGGAUCUGGACACUCGAGCUUGCUAACAACAUCGAAA
Drosophila montana is the source of this 373-nucleotide long non-coding RNA. RefSeq lists it as uncharacterized. The record is from RefSeq and is a predicted model, not a curated record. NCBI's taxonomy places the organism in Eukaryota, Metazoa, Arthropoda, Insecta, Diptera, Drosophilidae. The transcript has 2 exons.